UGGGGAAUAUUGCACAAUGGGCGAAAGCCUGAUGCAGCAACGCCGCGUGAGGGACGACGGCCUUCGGGUUGUAAACCUCUUUUAGCAAGGAAGAAGCGAAAGUGACGGUACUUGCAGAAAAAAGCGCCGGCUAACUACGUGCCAGCAGCCGCGGUAAUACGUAGGGCGCAAGCGUUAUCCGGAAUUAUUGGGCGUAAAGAGCUCGUAGGCGGUUUGUCGCGUCUGCUGUGAAAACCCGAGGCUCAACCUCGGGCCUGCAGUGGGUACGGGCAGACUAGAGUGCGGUAGGGGAGAUUGGAACUCCUGGUGUAGCGGUGGAAUGCGCAGAUAUCAGGAAGAACACCGAUGGCGAAGGCAGAUCUCUGGGCCGUAACUGACGCUGAGGAGCGAAAGGGUGGGGAGCAAACAGGCUUAGAUACCCUGGUAGUCCACCCCGUAAACGUUGGGAACUAGUUGUGGGGUCCAUUCCACGGAUUCCGUGACGCAGCUAACGCAUUAAGUUCCCCGCCUGGGGAGUACGGCCGCAAGGCUAAAACUUAAAGGAAUUGACGGGGUCAUAGCUGUUUCCU
RNAcentral lists this ribosomal RNA (569 nucleotides) under uncultured bacterium. Its description in RNAcentral is "partial 16S ribosomal RNA". It matches the Rfam family "Bacterial small subunit ribosomal RNA", at positions 355 to 1375 of the family's 1533-position model. The record is from RNAcentral.